UACGAAGGGUGCUAGCGUUGUUCGGAAUCACUGGGCGUAAAGCGCGCGUAGGCGGCUUUUCAAGUCAGGGGUGAAAUCCUGGAGCUUAACUCCAGAAUUGCCUUUGAAACUGUAAAGCUGGAGUAUUGGAGGGGAUAGCGGAAUUCCUAAUGUAGAGGUGAAAUUCGUAGAUAUUAGGAGGAACACCGGUGGCGAAGGCGGCUAUCUGGACAAUUACUGACGCUUAGGCGCGAAAGCGCGGGGAUCAAACAGG
RNAcentral lists this unclassified non-coding RNA (253 nucleotides) under uncultured Rickettsiales bacterium. RNAcentral describes it as "contains 16S-23S intergenic spacer region". It matches the Rfam family "Bacterial small subunit ribosomal RNA", at positions 524 to 776 of the family's 1533-position model. The record is from RNAcentral. Lineage: Bacteria; Pseudomonadati; Pseudomonadota; Alphaproteobacteria; Rickettsiales.